This 63-nucleotide transfer RNA is filed under the name Lachesilla punctata. Its description in RNAcentral is "tRNA-Pro". Lineage: Eukaryota; Metazoa; Arthropoda; Insecta; Psocodea; Lachesillidae. The record is from RNAcentral.
CAGAAUGUAGUUUAUAUAAAAAUAUUAAUUUUGGAGAUUAAAGAAAUUUAAUUUUUAUUCUGA